Mesocricetus auratus (golden hamster) is the source of this 2521-nucleotide long non-coding RNA. RefSeq lists it as uncharacterized. NCBI's taxonomy places the organism in Eukaryota, Metazoa, Chordata, Mammalia, Rodentia, Cricetidae. The record is from RefSeq and is a predicted model, not a curated record. The transcript has 2 exons.
UAAUCUAAAUUUAAACUGAAAAUAAAUUAAAAAAAAAAAGAAAUAACUCUAACUUGGCAGUCUUUGCUUUAUAAAUCAUUUGCCCAAGUGGCCGGAUUUGCAGUCUGCUUGUCUUUGUUUAAAUUGUUCAAAGUGUAAUCUGGGGCUAGGGUCUAAGAGAUGAGAUUAAAGGAUGACCAUGAAUGUGGAUAUUGUUAGUAAAAUCUUCUGUUUCAGCCAGGCUCUUCUUCAGGCACUAGCCACAGUUGGCUACACAAUUUUUUUUUAGUUCAGAAUUUUUCUUUUAUUAAUCUGUCAGUGUGCAGAUUGGUUUCUUACUGGGAAGGCAUAUUAUUCCUGGAACAGUGGUAGUCAGAGACACUGGAGCAGAAUGAACAGGUUCAAACAAAGUCUAGGAAGGGCAAAAUGAAGUGUCAACCUCGCUGGAAGGAGAAAUCUCUAAGGACUGAUCCCCUGUCACUCAGGUGAGCUGCAGAAAGCCAGGACUAGCUCAAGGAAGUGUGAAAUGGUCAGAAAACUUGAAAAAAAAAAAAAACCAGUGGGCCAGAGGUAGACAUUCAGGGAAUAACUGAACUCCCACUGUGAGUAAGGUUCUAGGGAAAGGAUGUUCCCCAGGCAGACUAGUUCUCAGGGAAGACUAGAAGGCAGUCCUUGAUGGAAUAAAGUCUCAAGUAAACGUGAAGUCUCUGUGGUGUUAAGUCCUGGAGGAAGCACAGAGCAGUGAGGGGAACAGAGAAAGGAGCAGGUGAAGCAGCUGCUGCAGCCCAAGGCUGCCUGGUGUGAACUGUGGCUCCUGUGGGGCCUGCUUCUCCUCAGGGAUGCUCAUUGUGAGGGUGGGGGAUGGCUGGUGCAAUUGCUGUGUUUGUAAACAAUGGCAUCCUGAGUCUAGAAGGAAUUUUGGUUGUCUUCUAGUCUGUUAUCCAUUUUUCUCCAUGCCAGAAACAUGUCUACAGCAUCCCCAGCUGGCCAUUGGUGCAGUCAUUUCCAAGUACAGUAAAUAAAGACCAACUAGUCUGUUUCCUUCUCAUGGUUCCAUGUAUGUGGAUCCAACCAACCGCAGAUCAAAACGUAUUUCUCUGUUUAUUAGUUCCUAAUCAAUAGAAUCUACCAAGUACUUACAUGGCAUUUACACUCUUUUAAGUAUUACAGCCAAUGCAUGGACUAUUUGAUAUUUAAGAUACAUGGGAAGAUAUGUGUAGGUUCCAUGAAAAUACUCUGCCAUUUUCUUCAUUGAUACUGCAUUAAGAAAUUAAAAGCAAAUUCUUCGUCUUGGAGCUGGUUAGAGGAAGAGUGAGGCCAAAUUGAAUGUUUCACUUCUUAGUGUGUCUUCCUUCUGUAUGUCAUUUGUGGUCUGCAGCAUGGUGUGUGUUUGUGCAAUGUCUGACUGUUCCUGUUAUUUGUAACAAAGACUUUGCCCUGUAUUUACAGUGUAGCACAGGAAGCAUGGUGUGGGAAAGGAUUGAAGAAUGAUUUUUUUUCUAAAAUAAGAAGCUUUAACAGGUUUUACAAGGGAAAGCUGACCCCAAGUAGUGCUCACAACCUCACCCUGUAUCCACAUGUUGCUUCCAACAUUCAUAGGAUAUUUGUUUGUAUUUAUCAUUUAGUUAUUUAGUUCUUUUUGUUGUUUUUUAAAGAUUACUUUCAAGUUUCUGGCUUCUUUCAGCAAAUAAUUACCCCAACACACCCCCCACCCCCCACUCACACACACACACACACACACACACACACACACACACACAAGCAUGCAUACACACACUUCUGGGUCAGAGUCAUGGAAGAGUACUUAGAUAAGAUUAAAGCUAUGCACUUAGUUUAGGUUGUAAAAGCUGUUUACAAGACAAGUCCAAAGGUAUAAGAGUAAGGUUGGUUACAUUGUUUUCUUAAGGUCAGGUUAAAGUUAACCAGGCUGACCACACAGUAUUGAGUACAUAGUUCUAAAUGAUCUCAAAGCAUAUUAUUAACUUGAUUUCAAGGUCUGACAAAGGUCCUGUUUCUGAAAGCAAGAAGCAUUUCCAGAAAAAAAAAAAAAACUACUUAGGUCCCUAUAAGGGAUUUGGCCAGCAUGUCUUGAUACCUGUGGGAGUGGCUGGAUCUGACUCCCUGGGGAUCUUAACUGUCAGCUGUGUGUUCCUGAGGCACAGAUUGGAAAAUUGGGGACAAAAAGCAUUGGGGUAUUAAAUCUAAGUAGACAGAACUGAAUCCUAAUUAAUGCCUGAGGGACAGAGAACACACAGGAGUCUACCAGCCUUCAAACUACCCUUCAGGAACACCAAGGCAUUUGAAGCGGAGAUCUUCCACUUUCCCACCAGCAAAACACAUUAGAGACUGAGCCGUCUCCUCCUCCCUCAACCCUUCCAAAGCCAAAGGUCAGAAGUCACGAAGUCCAUCUGCUGCCCCCGAUGACGUCACAUAGCAACUACAUGGCGUAGGGGAAAGUUUCAACCACAUUAGGAAACAAAGCUGGGACUUUCUACUAAUACUCCGGUCUUACUAGAAUUAAAAAUCAGUAUCUUCAUAAAAA